GGGCCGCUAGCUCAUCGGGUAGAGCAACGGACUUUUAAUCCGUAGGCGCUGGGUUCGAGCCCCAGGCGGCCCACAA
RNAcentral lists this transfer RNA (76 nucleotides) under marine actinobacterium MedAcidi-G2B. RNAcentral's name for it is "tRNA-Lys". It matches the Rfam family "tRNA". From Rfam's summary of the family: Transfer RNA (tRNA) molecules are approximately 80 nucleotides in length. Their secondary structure includes four short double-helical elements and three loops (D, anti-codon, and T loops). Further hydrogen bonds mediate the characteristic L-shaped molecular structure. tRNAs have two regions of fundamental functional importance: the anti-codon, which is responsible for specific mRNA codon recognition, and the 3' end, to which the tRNAs corresponding amino acid is attached (by aminoacyl-tRNA synthetases). tRNAs cope with the degeneracy of the genetic code in two manners: having more than one tRNA (with a specific anti-codon) for a particular amino acid; and 'wobble' base-pairing, i.e. permitting non-standard base-pairing at the 3rd anti-codon position. Lineage: Bacteria; Bacillati; Actinomycetota; Actinomycetes. RNAcentral also lists the same sequence under 2 other names. The record is from RNAcentral.